RNA transcript from Phyllopteryx taeniolatus (common seadragon), 7820 nucleotides. It is a transcript of the gene named UDP-Gal:betaGlcNAc beta 1,4- galactosyltransferase, polypeptide 5, with no coding region annotated. Lineage: Eukaryota; Metazoa; Chordata; Actinopteri; Syngnathiformes; Syngnathidae. The record is from RefSeq and is a predicted model, not a curated record. The transcript has 10 exons.
CCUUUCCCUCUCCCUCUCGUAGGAUCAAGCUAAAGGCGCGUUGCAGUGUUGCUCGGCGUCUACGCCCACUUAGGUGCCGCUGCUCCUUUUCCUGCGGGGAAAAGCUAGCUCGUCGCACCAAGGCAAGCCAGGAGGGAGAGCUCAGAAGCGGCCGAGUUUCGUCAGAGACGUCGUCGAGCGUGACAAACGAUGGCCCCGCACUGAAAACGACAAGGCCGCCGGGUUGCUUCGCUCUGUCACGGCCAACCGCGUCGUCAUCAUCGUCGUCGUCGUUGUUGUUGUUGUUGUUGUGUGUGUGUGUUUUUUUUUUUUUGUUGUUUUUUUUUUUUAUGACCUCGGACUUUAGUCGUCAUUAGUCGCCGAAACACCCCCCCACGCCCCCCCUCCGCUAGGAAUGGAAUUCGUAUGACUGGACUGAUUAGCGGAGGUCCUCUCCUGUUGUCAACCUGCCGAGGAAAUCGACGUGAGCUCUUGGCCGCCCGCUGCCGCAGAGAGCGACACCAGCACACCGCUCGGGAUUGUUCCUCGCCGACCAGUGUCCGAGGCUUCCGGGCACCUGAACACACCGUAACCGCUGUGUCUGCUGCGUAUCGAUAAACGUGAAACGUUCCACCGUGUGCUUGCUCUUUUUUUUUUUUUUUUUUUUUUUUUGGGCUGCCUGUAUAAUGCCGGCACAUUUGCGUUUCCGGAGAAGGUCAUACCUUGGGCUUUUAUUCCUUUUCUCGCUCUCAACCUCAGCUCUUUAUUUCAUCUACUCCGCUCCUGGAAUCGUGAAUGAGUAUGUGUUCAUGGUCCAAGCCCGAGGGAUCCAGAUCAGAGAAAAUGUGAAGAAUAUCGGUGCUCAGGUCCUGGAGCAGGUGGUGAGAGGUGCCUACAGCAAUGGCACAGAUUACUCUUAUGACUUCAACAUGAGCGAAAGUGAUUCUCCUCCCACUGCAUACCUCCCUGAGGGCUUCACGUACCUCCCUUCACAAGUUUGCCCUGACAAGCUACCCUCCAUGAAGGGUAGGUUGGAGGUGAAUAUGAGUGAAGUGUCACUGGAGGAUGUGGAGAGAUCACUCCUGCAGGAAGAGUCUACUCUAGCCCCAGGAGGCCACUGGAAGCCUAAAGACUGUUUACCUCGCUGGAAGGUGGCAAUCUUAGUCCCGUUCAGGAACCGACACGAGCACUUGCCAAUCCUCCUGAGACAUCUGGUGCCAGUGCUACAGAAACAGCGGCUCCAGUUUGGCAUUUAUGUCAUAGAGCAGGCCGGCACAGAGCCAUUUAACCGAGCCAUGUUGUUUAACGUGGGCUACAAGGAGGCCAUCAAGGAUCUGGACUGGGACUGCCUGGUCUUCCAUGAUGUAGACCACCUCAUGGAGAACGACAGGAACUACUACGGCUGCACAGACAUGCCCAGACACUUUGCGGUCAAGCUUGACAAGUACUCGUACAUGCUUCCGUAUAAUGAGUUCUUUGGCGGUGUCAGCGGCCUAAGAGUGGGACAGUUCAAUAAGAUUAAUGGAUUUCCUAAUGCGUUCUGGGGCUGGGGAGGAGAGGACGAUGACCUUUGGAACAGGGUGCUGUACGCCAAUUACACCGUAAGCAGACCACAGGGAGAGCUGGGGCGCUACAUGUCCAUUGCACACCACCAUCGCGGAGAAGUCCAGUUCCUGGGCAGCCUCUGGUUUUCAUCACGACUGGAUGACUUCUCUGUCCGAGAGAGUUUCUGAUCUGAUCUGAGACGAUGUCCUGAUGCUAAACAGAAGACAGGCUGACGGUGCACUUGCGUUGGCAGGAGUCACAAUGACUCGUGUAAACUGCUGCCAGGUCAGGCAUUGCGGGGGAAGCUGCGAUUGCCGCAACUGAGCAGGCAACCCAGGCAACUGCCUAAAGCCUCGAGUUCAAGGGCCCUGCGAGAGACUGCUGACUUUGGCCCGUAUCAAUGACAAAACAGUGGGACGGCUUGAAAGACUGCAAUGUCUACACGUCGGGAAUACCCCGCAUAGGGCCCCUUACUACCUGCUGCUGGCUGGCGGCAAGUAGAGGGGCCUCGAGAGACGUAUCGACGACACAACUGGAAAACCCUGAUAUCGUAAUUACACGUCGAGAUUUGGGAAUCUCCCAUUAAUGAUAUAGCUUCAAUAUUCUUAUCGAUUGUCAUUGGGUAAGCGAAUGAAAUAUUACAAAUGGGCUUGUUUUCUUUAACUGUUUAAUAUCUUCAACUUUGGACAUAAGAUACAAUGUAGCCUGUGUGCACUCAUAUUCUCUAAUGAGACUUAAAAGCUUCAUGCAUCUUGGGAAAUUGCCCGAUUGCACUCUUAAUGGUCUCAACUUUAAACGUUGAAAGGAGAGAUUCUAUUUUAUAUCAUUCCUGACAGGUACAGACUUUUUUCACUGGAUACGUUUCCCAAGAUAUAACAUUUUGACUGCUAACAUUUGGGAAUAUUUACAGUGUUCCUUUUGCAUUCGACUUCAUCCAAAACUAACUCCGAUAUAAAACAAAGAAUUGUUGCGGAAAAAGAGAACAUUUGACCUGGUUUUGAUAAAUACCUUCCGGAUGAUUAUACACAGCCCUCUUUUCGAAACUGCAGACUCCAGAGAGACUCAAAAGAGUCUCACCAGAGGCCCAACGGAUAGAGGUGAGCGUCAGAGCAGCAAGACCCUCCGUGGACGGCUGGGUCUCAACACUUUAGAUUUUUUUUUUCCCCUGCUUUCUCGCUCUUCUAUCAUUCUUGCCAUCACGUGAGCCCAAUAACGACCAAACACGAGGUGCUUUAACCGGCCUCACCAGUGGCAGAGCACCAGUCGAAGUGCUGCUUCUUCUCUUUCCCUAAGAUUUGUAUUUUUUUGCUUUGGUAUAGAAAACAAAGAUUGCAAAAUUCAGCUCACGUGGUGCAACCUUUCCCGAAAUCGUCCAAAAAUAAUACGUUCUCUUUUUAUACUUAUUUUGAAUGUUGCUAUUGAAACGGAUGAAAUGCAUAAACGCUGCGCAUACCCUGUACAUACAGUAUUUACAAUCCCUAAAGGAGAUUAACACUGAUCAUUUCCUCUGCUCUCAUGAUCUAAGCAUGAUUUGUUGAAGACUUUUAACCUAAAAUAAAUUUUAAAAAAUCUUCUCAUAUUUCGAUGUGAUAAAUCUGGAACCAGCAUUCUUGUGCAAGAUCACGUUCAACACAGUUUUACAGUGAUGGCCAGAAGCGCAGUAAAUGGAAGAUUAUCCAUGUAAAUUCCAAACAAAUACGUCUGGUGCCCUUGUAGAUUUACAGCAACGAUAAGCAUUGCGAUGUGUGUUCGUGUAGUUGAGAGUUGACAAAAAAGCCUUUAUGAGUUUACAGCCGAUUGGGAGCAAGCGCUGCAUAAUGCGAAUGUGAAGUGUUACUCUAUAUCCGUUUUCACACAUCUGUCAAAGUCUUUUGGGUCUGUGGAUGAGAUUUUAUUGUUGUGUUUUACAAGAAAGAAGGAUGUCCUACUUGAUUGGUUGUAUGUGCACAUUUUAAACAGGUGUAACCAAGCAAUAAAGUCUUUUUAUAUCCCACGUCUAAUCACACACAUGCUUUAUCUCUACGAACAGCAACUAAUUCAUAAUGUACUUGAACUUGCUGCAACUUUGUUUUGUGUGCUUUGGUGCAGCGGGAGAAGAAUAGAUGACUUCCUAAUCUGGAGUGAAGAUUAGAUGUAUAUGAGGAGAGCUAUUUCCCUCCGGGAGCUAUUUUCACAAAAGAAUUCACAACCAAUAUAGCUCAAGGAGACUAUGAAGGAGAAUGUGCGAUGUUUGCUUUUGUGAUCGCGGGUGACAGACGUAAACGGUUGACCACACAGUUAAGUGUCAAAAGCAAAGGCACAAUGAACCUCUCAAUUUAUCGGCAGAGCCUGGCAACGAGAUAAGUGGGAGAAGAAAGAAAAAAAAUCUCAGCAGUAGAAAAAGAAGCUGCCAAUUUACCUAAUAAAUCCUAAAAAUCAUUAAAAGGUGCAACAUUGAUGUGCUCUGCAAAGAUCACCCUGCACACCAAUUUAUGUGUUUGUGCCUAUAAGAAAAUAAUCAGCCUAACUAUGGCACACGGCCAUCUUUUCUGCAAGUUUCCAUUGUUUCCAAGCUUGCAUUUGCACUUUAAUUUUCAUUACAAGUGUCCCAUCCAUCCAUCCAUCUAUCCAUCCAUUUUCUACCGCUUAUCCGGGUCGGGUCGUGGGGGCAGUAGCUUUAGCAGGGACGCCCAGAGUUCCCUCUCCCCAGCCACUUCAUCCAGCUCUUCCUGGGGGAUCUCGAGGCAUUCCCAGGCCAGCCGAAGGAUGUAGUCUCUCCAGCGUGUCCUGGGUCGUCCCUGGGGUCUCCUCCCGCUGGGACGUGCCCGGAACACCUCACCAGGGAGGCGUCCGGGAGGCAUCCGAAUCAGAUACCCCAGCCACCUCAUCUGGCUCCUCUCGAUGUCGAGGAGCAGCGGCUCUACUCUGAGAUCCUCCCGGAUGACCAAGCUUCUCACCCUAUCUCUAAGGGAGAGCCCGGACACCCUGCGGAGGAAACUCAUUUCGGCCGCUUGUAUCCAGGAUCUUGUUCUUUCGGUCACGACCCACAGCUCGUGACCAUAGGCGAGGGUAGGAACGUAGAUCAACCGGUAAAUUGAGAGCUUCGCGUUUCGGCUUAGCUCCUUCUUUUCCACAACGGACCGAUACAAAGUCCGCAUCACUGCAGACGCUGCACCGAUUCGCCUGUCGAUCUCCCGUUCCAUUCUUCCCUCACUCGUAAAGACCCCAAGAUACUUGAACUCCUCCACUUGGGGCAGGAUCUCAUCCCCGACCUGGAGAGGGCACGCCACCCUUUUCCAACUGAGGACCAUGGUCUCAGAUUUGGAGGUGCUGAUUUUCAUCCCAGCCGCUUCACACUCAGCUGCAAACUGCCCCAGUGAGAGUUGGAGGUCACGGCUUGAUGAAGCCAACAGAACCACAUCAUCUGCAAAAAGCAGAGAUGCAAUACUGAGGCCACCAAACCGGACCCCCUCUACGCCUCGGCUGCACCUAGAAAUUCUGUACAUAAAAGUUAUGAACAGAAUCUGUGACAAAGGGCAGCCUUGGCGGAGUCCAGCCCUCACCGGGAACGAGUCUGACUUACUGCCGGAUAUGCGGACCAAACUCUGACACCCCUGAAUAGUCCUUACCAGGGAUGCUGAGGAGUGUGAGUAGUUGGAUGACACCCAACAGUCCCCGUUCUUAAAAAGGGGGACCACCACCCCAGUCUGCCAAUCCAGAGGCACUGUCGCCGAUGUCCACGCGAUGUUGCAGAGGCGUGUCAACCAGGACAGCCCCACAACAUCCAGAGCCUUUAGGAACUCCGGGCGAAUCUCAUCCACCCCCGGGGCCCUGCCACCGAGGAGCUUUUUAACUACCUCGGUGACCUCAAACCCAAAGAUAGGAGAGCCCGCCUCAGAGAACCAACACUCUGCUUCCUCAUGGGAAGGCGUGUCGGUGGAAUUGAGGAGGUCUUCGAAGUAUUCUCCCCACCAACUCACAACGUCCCGAGUCGAGGUCAGCAGCGCCUCAUCCCCACGAUACACAGUGUUGGUGGUGCACUGCUUCCCUCUCCUGAGACGCCGGAUGGUGGACCAGAAUUUCCUCGAAGCCGUCCGGAAGUCUUUCUCCAUCGGCUCACCGAACGUCUCCCAUACCCGAGUUUUUGCUUCAGCGACCAUCAGAGAUGCAUUCCGCUUGGCCAGGCGGUACCCAUCAGCUGCCUCAGGAGUCCCACAGGCCAAAAAGCCCCGAUAGGACUCCUUCUUCAGCUUGACGGCAUCCCUCACCGUCGGUGUCCACCAACGGGUUCGGGGAUUGCCGCCACGACAGGCACCGACCACCUUGCGGCCACAGCUCCGGUCGGCCGCCUAAGCAAUGGAGGCGCAGAACAUGGUCCACUCGGACUCUAUGUCCCCCGCCUCCCCGGAACAUGAGCAAAGUUCUGUCGGAGGUGAGAGUUGAAACUCCUUCUGACAGGGGAUUCUGCCAGACGUUCCCAGCAGACCCUCACAAUACGUUUGGGCCUGCCAUGUCGGACCGGCAUUUUCCCCCACCAUUGGAGCCAACUCACCACCAGGUGGUAAUCAGUUGACAGCUCCGUCCAACUCUUCACCCGAGUGUCCAAGACAUGCGGCCGCAAGUCAGAUGACACGACCACAAAGUCGAUCAUCGAACUGCGACCUCGGGUGUCCUGGUGCCAAGUGCACGUGUGGACACCCUUAUGCUUGAACAUGGUGUUCGUUAUCGGUGACGAACACAGAAGUCCAAUAACAGAACACCGCUUGGGUUUUGAAUCACGCCCUUCAAGGUCUCACUGUCAUUGCCCACGUGAGUAUUGAAGUCCCCUAGCAGAACGAUGGAGUCCCCAUCGGGAGCGCUCUCCAGCACCCCCUCCAAGGACUCCAAAAAGGGUGGGUACUCUGAACUGCUGUUUGGUGCAUAGGCUCAAAAAACAGUCAGGACCCGUCCCCCCACCCGAAGGCGAAGGGAGGCUGCCCUCUCGUCCACGGUGGUGAACCCCAACGUACAGGCGCCAAACCGGGGGGCAAUAAGUAUACCCACACCUGCUUGGCGCCUCACCAUGGGCAACUCCAGAGUGGAAGAGAGUCCAACCCCUCUCGAGAGGACUGGUACCAGAGCCCAAGCCGUGUGUGGAGGCGAGUCCGACUAUAUCUUGUCGGAACUUCUCGACCUCACACACCAGCUCGGGCUCCUUCCCUGCCAGAGAGGUGACAUUCCACGUCCCUAGAGCCCGCUUCUUUAGCCGGGGAUCGGAUCGCCAAGGUCUCCACCUUCGGCCACCACCCAGCUCACACUGCACCCGACCCCUAUGGCCCUCCCACAGGUGGUGAGCCCAUGGGAAGGGGGACCCAUGUUACCCUUUCGGGCUGUGCCCGGCCGGGCCCCAUGGGUGCAGGCCCGGCCACCAGGUGCUCGCCUUCGAGCCCCACCACCAGGCCUGGCUCCAGUGGGGGGCCCCGGUGACCCGCAUCCGGGCAAGGGAAAAUGAAGUCCAUUGUUUGUCGUCAUCAUUAGGGGUCUUUGAGCCGUGCUUUGUCUGGUCCCUCAUCUAGGACCUGUUUGUCAUGGGUGACCCUGCCAGGGGCAUAAAGCCCCAGACAACUUAGCUCCUAGGAUAACUGGGACACACAAACCCCUCCACCACGACAAGGUGACGGCUCAAGGAGGGGUGCCUAACUAACCAUUACAAUUCGAUCCACCAGGAUACAUUGCAAGUACAGCGGUGCAUUCCGUGACCAUGCUUGUAAAUCUCAAAUCAUCUUUGGCUAUUGAAAUGAAUGGAAAUGCCAUUAAUGUGUUCCAGCUUCCCCCACAUUUUGCAAUUUUUUUAUGAAGGAAAUUGUUUACUUAAUAAAACAUAUCGGAAUGACAAUUAAAUAAAAUGUAAACAAUUGAACAGUUUGGGUAUCAUGAUUCAUUCAUUUGCGACUCAUUCUGGUCUGUGCAACUUGGCCACCAGGGGGCAGUAUAAUACAGUCAUUAAGACACAAAUGAAGAAGACUCAGUAACUAUUCGCUGUUUUUCAUUGAGGAUAGAAAAAAUAUGCCUGUGAGUAUUGUUACAUUGUCUGUCUAAAUUUGUUAAUGCAGCAUUUCUGUUUCGAUAUCCGUUGCUUAUAGGGUUAUAACACUGCAAAUAUCGAUGCUAUUUGUUAUCCCGUCUACGGGGUUUUGCAUUGUGUGUUAGCAUUAAGCUAGCAGACAGCAAAAUUGUUUGAUUGUUUUGCAUACGCAAAAUGUAAUUCUCUUUGUUUUACGUUUAGUUUGACAGUAAACUUCAAAUGGGAGUGGCAUUAAACAGUUUUUGAAAAAUUG